GAAGUGCGAUAAGCAAUGCGAAUUGCAGAAUUCCGCGAAUCAUCAGAUCUUUGAACGCAAAUGGCGCCAGAGGGAUAUCCUUCCGGCAUGUCUGUUUCAGUGUCUGAGAGGUUUCACCACUAUCUUAAUGUGAUUGAUGAAUGAGCUACUCCUAGAGCAGCUUAACCUCAUCUCUCAUGAAAGAUGCUCGAGUGGAUCUUUUGGUCCAAUGAAGUGGUCACAUCACUCGCAUGUGAUUUCAUUGGGAUCACCAAAUUAUCCGCAUGCUCGAGGUACACUCUCUCUUUUUGGGUAACACCAAAAAGACACUCCACACCCUGCAUCUGAGACAGGCAAGAUCACCCGCUGAACUUAA
This 355-nucleotide unclassified non-coding RNA is filed under the name uncultured fungus. RNAcentral describes it as "sequence contains ITS1". The stretch from base 1 to 105 matches the Rfam family "5.8S ribosomal RNA", at positions 50 to 154 of the family's 154-position model. The record is from RNAcentral. Lineage: Eukaryota; Fungi.